UCAAGUUAAUUGCUAUCAGCUUGGUGUGUCAUUGGGUGGUUGGAGGUCCCUUGUUGCAUGCCAUGUUGUCAUAGACUAGUUUACAAGAAAUGAAAUGUGUUUACCGAUCAUGUAUAUUGUAGGGAUCUUUACCUGAGCACAGUUCUUCAUUCCUGGAACACAUGAGUAGAGGCAUGAGAGAAAAGCAAGAAGAAUUCAGGGUAAUACGGGAACUGAAAACCAUGGAGCUCUGUUAAACUGGCAUGCAACAAUUAGACCUUCAGACAGCCAAGAGGAAAAAUAGUUUUAUCCUGUUUUUUGGAUGAGCUAACUAUAUUUUUAAAGGUCCCAUACCUGCCUGUUUAAAGAGUAACACCUGUGACCACAACCCGUAGUGAUGUCACAUUGCACAGACACACCUUUGAGUACACUUCUACAUCACUGCAGCAAAGUGAGAGGUUAAACCACUGGAGAUUUAAACUCAGUUGCUGCCGGUGUUUUUCCUGCUCUUUAAACCCUCAUCCAUUCCCCUCCAUGCAGCCUCCUCUGCCCUGACCUCGGCCUCCCCGCCUCCCGCUGUGGUAUCCCAGAGGCCCCCGGGGCACCAGGCUCCUUCUUCCCCUCCAGCCCCACCUCCACAGGAAAGCCCCCAGACUGCCGCCAAAUACCUCCACAGAUUCUUCCUGUGGCUCAGAUGCGGCGGGAGGCCCCUCGCGGCUUCGCCUCACUUCCACCACAGGGCCUCGGAAAUACCUGAGAUCCCUGAGUGUGGUCGCCGUUUAUCUGCACCGCUUUGACCAAUAUUCACUGCCAAGAGGUUCAAACCACAGAUGUUCACACUCAGAUUCAAAUCUGAUUUUUUUAGAUAUCUGUUCUAGGAUGUAACCUGCACACAAAACCACUUUCGGACCCCGUGAAGAUUAACAAUCACACUAGUGUGUUUGCUUAUAGGGAUCCUAAAUACACAAACAAAUGAACUAAUGGUGAAAAGACACAUGAAGGGAUUAUAACUGUAGCAAAAGGUGCUACGUCCAUAUUUAUAAUUACUCUGAUAGCUGAAAUGGAAGGGUUGCUAUGCUUCCGUUAAUUAAUUAAACAAAAUAAAUUGUUUCUACUAAGAGA
This is a long non-coding RNA of Sebastes umbrosus (honeycomb rockfish), 1101 nucleotides long. RefSeq lists it as uncharacterized. The record is from RefSeq and is a predicted model, not a curated record. The transcript has 4 exons. NCBI's taxonomy places the organism in Eukaryota, Metazoa, Chordata, Actinopteri, Perciformes, Sebastidae.